Molecule: ribosomal RNA, 252 nt
Filed under: uncultured prokaryote
Description: partial 16S ribosomal RNA
Rfam family: Bacterial small subunit ribosomal RNA
Source: RNAcentral
AUACGUAGGUGGCAAGCGUUGUCCGGAAUUAUUGGGCGUAAAGCGCGCGCAGGCGGUCCUUUAAGUCUGAUGUGAAAGCCCACGGCUCAACCGUGGGGGGUCAUUGGAAACUGGGGGACUUGAGUACAGAAGAGAAGAGUGGAAUUCCACGUGUAGCGGUGAAAUGCGUAGAGAUGUGGAGGAACACCAGUGGCGAAGGCGACUCUUUGGUCUGUAACUGACGCUGAGGCGCGAAAGCGUGGGGAGCAAACA